Molecule: small RNA, 549 nt
Filed under: Trichoderma virens
Lineage: Eukaryota; Fungi; Ascomycota; Sordariomycetes; Hypocreales; Hypocreaceae
Description: eukaryotic LSU rRNA
Rfam family: 5.8S ribosomal RNA (bases 206-359)
Source: RNAcentral
CAUUACCGAGUUUACAACUCCCAAACCCAAUGUGAACGUUACCAAACUGUUGCCUCGGCGGGAUCUCUGCCCCGGGUGCGUCGCAGCCCCGGACCAAGGCGCCCGCCGGAGGAACAACCAAAACUCUUAUUGUAUACCCCCUCGCGGGUUUUUUACUAUCUGAGCCAUCUCGGCGCCCCUCGUGGGCGUUUCGAAAAUGAAUCAAAACUUUCAACAACGGAUCUCUUGGUUCUGGCAUCGAUGAAGAACGCAGCGAAAUGCGAUAAGUAAUGUGAAUUGCAGAAUUCAGUGAAUCAUCGAAUCUUUGAACGCACAUUGCGCCCGCCAGUAUUCUGGCGGGCAUGCCUGUCCGAGCGUCAUUUCAACCCUCGAACCCCUCCGGGGGGUCGGCGUUGGGGAUCGGCCCUUUACGGGGCCGGCCCCGAAAUACAGUGGCGGUCUCGCCGCAGCCUCUCCUGCGCAGUAGUUUGCACACUCGCAUCGGGAGCGCGGCGCGUCCACAGCCGUUAAACACCCCAAACUUCUGAAAUGUUGACCUCGGAUCAGGUA